Molecule: long non-coding RNA, 823 nt
Organism: Manihot esculenta (cassava)
Lineage: Eukaryota; Viridiplantae; Streptophyta; Magnoliopsida; Malpighiales; Euphorbiaceae
Exons: 2
Source: RefSeq, a predicted model, not a curated record
GCGGCGCACAGCACAUCAAGUAAUCUUCGCAUCUGGAGAUCUGGUUUUCUUCUUGGUCCAUUAUGUGGGUCCAUCAUAUGGGUCUCUCAAUAUUCGAUUUGAUGAAAGGACUGCAAAAUAAGGAAAGAUGGUCAGGGAUCUACCGGAAUGCCCUGGUGGAGACCCUACGACGUUCAAGUGGCUCAUGAACUAGUGUAGUAUGGAUAGACAAGAGUUGCAGAAAAGAAUAAUAGUAAAAAAUAUGGAGCCGAACAAGAAGAAAGAAGGAAGGACCCCCUUUUGCUCUGCUCGUGAUGUAUAUCUACUUACAAUGCUAGUCUCUGUCACUCAGCUCCGUACGUACGGAUGUGUCAAGGUUCCUCUCCAUGCCAGGCAUUCAUUUAAUUUUUCCCGGCGCGCAUGCGGGCAGGACUGUGAGGUGACUGGGCCUGCUCCCCUACUUCUUCACAUCACAUCACCAGGCUGGACUUCUUCCUGCUGAAUCUGGGCUCACGGGUAACCCAUCCAGCCCGGCGUGUCUGGGUCGAGACCCGAGAUGCUGAGUUGGUAAGCCUAAGGAGGGUUUGAUGGCCUUUGGGCCAUUAUUCUCCUCUUGAGUCCGGCCCCGCUCAAGGUAGAGGAAGUCCGGCCUCGCCCAGGGUAGAGGAAGCCCGGCUGUCAUCAGUAAUUAAGAAUCAUAUUUUGUAAUUGAAAAUCAUAUUUUGCUUGUCAAGUGAGUAUUUCAUAACAGCAAACUGUACAAUAUCAUGAACUACAAGUUUAAUAUAAAUUAAAUGACGAAUCUUAAAAUGAAAAUAAGUAAAAUCAGAUGGCAUUUUUUUUA